CACAAGCGAUCGGUCGACUCAGCAUUUGAUCUUCCAAUUAAAGCAUUUGGCCGUGAAAUUAAUUUAAAACUUGUUCAAUCUAAAGGAAUUCUCGCCGGACCAAAAACUCCUGUUUAUUUAGCACACUCUGCUACAAACAUUGAGAAAAGAUUAGGCUACUUUAGUUCAAAUAUGCGAUCACAACUUUAUGAAGACGAAGAACAUUUAGCAGCAUUCACAAUCGAUGAGUUCGAGAAUGGGUCACCUCAAAUAAAAUACGGAUACAUUGGCUCUGAAAAUAUAAUUAUUGAUCCAGCAAAUCCGAAUUCUAACAGUUCGGAAGAUGAGAAUCUUUACUUAGCUAAAUGUUCACUUGAAGAAAUCUAUGAAGCAAUUGUAUGGU
This is a long non-coding RNA of Microplitis mediator, 382 nucleotides long. RefSeq lists it as uncharacterized. NCBI's taxonomy places the organism in Eukaryota, Metazoa, Arthropoda, Insecta, Hymenoptera, Braconidae. The transcript is spliced from 3 exons. The record is from RefSeq and is a predicted model, not a curated record.